AUCCUACGGGGCGCAGCAGUGGGGAAUCUUGCACAAUGUUUUCAACCCUGAUGCAGCAACGCCGCGUGAGUGAAGAAGUCAUUCGUGAUGUAAAGCUCUAUCAGCAGGGAAGAAAAUGACGGUACCUGAGUAAGAAGCCCCGGCUAACUACGUGCCAGCAGCCGCGGUAAUACGUAGGGGGCAAGCGUUAUCCGGAUUUACUGGGUAUAAAGGGAGCGUAGACGGCCAGACAAGUCUGAAGUGAAAAUCCAGCGCUUAACGUUGGAAGUGCUUUGGAAACUGCCGGGCUAGAGUGCAGGAGGGGG
This 305-nucleotide ribosomal RNA is filed under the name uncultured bacterium. Its description in RNAcentral is "bacterial SSU rRNA". It matches the Rfam family "Bacterial small subunit ribosomal RNA", at positions 335 to 658 of the family's 1533-position model. The record is from RNAcentral.